This 313-nucleotide ribosomal RNA is filed under the name uncultured bacterium. Its description in RNAcentral is "bacterial SSU rRNA". It matches the Rfam family "Bacterial small subunit ribosomal RNA", at positions 481 to 793 of the family's 1533-position model. The record is from RNAcentral.
GCAGAAGAAGCACCGGCUAACUCCGUGCCAGCAGCCGCGGUAAUACGGAGGGUGCGAGCGUUAAUCGGAAUUUACUGGGCGUAAAGCGCAUGCAGGUGGUUUGUUAAGUCAGAUGUGAAAGCCCGGGGCUCAACCUCGGAAUUGCAUUUGAAACUGGCAAACUAGAGUACUGUAGAGGGGGUAGAAUUUCAGGUGUAGCGGUGAAAUGCGUAGAGAUCUGAAGGAAUACCGGUGGCGAAGGCGGCCCCCUGGACAGAUACUGACACUCAGAUGCGAAAGCGUGGGGAGCAAACAGGAUUAGAUACCCUGGUAG